UAUAUGAGGCAUGACUAAGUUGGAGCACCACUGUGAAUUGCUUCUGGUCUCACACAUGGAAAUAUAAAUGUGUUAAUCAUAGUGCCUCAUCAUCAGAGGGGUUCUUAAUACAACUCCGCUUCUUCCAAUUGUUUUUUUGUGUGCUCAGAUGGACUGCAGUUCCCCAGAAGGAGAGACUUGUUUUCGGCUGUUAUUUAACGUGGCAGCAGGCUGAGACGCAGUGCAGUCGGUGGCUCACAGAAGGUUCGCUUCUCAGGAGACUUGCCCAUGGCGUGCGGAGCUUUUCAGGAAAACAAAAGAAUCUUAUGGGAGCUAUCUUCCUCUCCACUUGUUCACUCCAGCCUGAUGAGAUUCAUAUAUUUCAACCCGUAAAUCUGCUAUUCUUAGGAAACGGGC
RNAcentral lists this long non-coding RNA (396 nucleotides) under Callithrix jacchus (white-tufted-ear marmoset). RNAcentral describes it as "lncRNA (ENSCJAG00000071991.1)". The record is from RNAcentral. Lineage: Eukaryota; Metazoa; Chordata; Mammalia; Primates; Cebidae.